UCAAUCUCGUAUUGGGUCUGAAAAAAUAUGUUGAAAGCCCUAGGUUGGGCUCACUGAAUUUCUUAGGCCCAUUCAAAACAUUGCCAUAACCAGAGACAAAAGUAAAGGAAUGUGUGGCCGGUAAAUUCUAACUUUUCUUUUUGAAAAAUGUUUGUCUGUAAAGUGAUUUUUUUCAGUAUUUGGUACUAUUUAUGGCAUUUAGGAAUUUAAUAUUUCAAUGGUGUUUAGUAAGGAGGGUGUAAAUAAAUCGAAUAUAAAUAAAUAAACAUAUAUUCGUAUUUAUUUAUUUAUUUUUAAAAGUAUUGUAUUUGGUUUAUAUUUGUUAAAAAAAUUAUUUUAUUUGUUCA
This 347-nucleotide long non-coding RNA is filed under the name Durio zibethinus. RNAcentral describes it as "long non-coding RNA (DZIB_LNC000496)". The record is from RNAcentral. Lineage: Eukaryota; Viridiplantae; Streptophyta; Magnoliopsida; Malvales; Malvaceae.